Molecule: ribosomal RNA, 468 nt
Filed under: uncultured bacterium
Lineage: Bacteria
Description: partial 16S ribosomal RNA
Rfam family: Bacterial small subunit ribosomal RNA
Source: RNAcentral
GACGAACGCUGGCGGCGUGCUUAACACAUGCAAGUCGAACGGAAAGGCCCUGCUUUUGUUUGUUUCUCGAUUGGCGAACGGGUGAGUAACACGUGUGUAACCUUCCCUUUACGUUUGGAUAACUUCAGGAAACUCGGGCUAAUACCCGGUAGGUACUCUGGCUGCAUUGGGUGGGUUGGAAAAUUUAGGCGUGUGGAGAUGGACUCGCGGCUUAUCAGUUUGUUAGUUGGGUAGUGGCUUACCAGGGUAGCGAGGGGUAGCCGCCAUGGGAGGGUGAACGGCGACAAUGGGCCUGCGAUAGGGCGCAGACUGCAACGGGACGCAAUGGUGGGAAAUCUUGCACAAUGGGGGGGAGUGAGAUACGGAAAUGCCGCGUGCGUAAUGCCGGGCUUCGAGUUGUAAACAGAUUUCGAAUGUGACGAAGAGUGAGUGACGGUAAUGGGUAAAGAAGCACCGGCUAACUACGUG